RNAcentral lists this ribosomal RNA (253 nucleotides) under uncultured bacterium. RNAcentral's name for it is "partial 16S ribosomal RNA". It matches the Rfam family "Bacterial small subunit ribosomal RNA", at positions 524 to 776 of the family's 1533-position model. The record is from RNAcentral.
UACGUAGGUGGCAAGCGUUGUCCGGAUUUACUGGGUGUAAAGGGCGUGUAGCCGGGCUGACAAGUCAGAUGUGAAAUCCGGGGGCUCAACCCCCGAACUGCAUUUGAAACUGUUGGUCUUGAGUAUCGGAGAGGCAGGCGGAAUUCCUAGUGUAGCGGUGAAAUGCGUAGAUAUUAGGAGGAACACCAGUGGCGAAGGCGGCCUGCUGGACGACAACUGACGGUGAGGUGCGAAAGCGUGGGGAGCAAACAGG